GGGGAAUUUUCCGCAAUGGGCGAAAGCCUGACGGAGCAAUACCGCGUGAGGGAGGAAGGCUCUUGGGUUGUAAACCUCUUUUCUCAGGGAAGAACAGAAUGACGGUACCUGAGGAAUAAGCAUCGGCUAACUCCGUGCCAGCAGCCGCGGUAAUACGGAGGAUGCAAGCGUUAUCCGGAAUGAUUGGGCGUAAAGGGUCCGCAGGUGGCAUUGUAAGUCUGCUGUUAAAGAGUUUGGCUCAACCAAAUAAGAGCAGUGGAAACUACAAAGCUAGAGUGUGGUCGGGGCAGAGGGAAUUCCUGGUGUAGCGGUGAAAUGCGUAGAUAUCAGGAAGAAC
This 337-nucleotide ribosomal RNA is filed under the name uncultured cyanobacterium. RNAcentral describes it as "bacterial SSU rRNA". It matches the Rfam family "Bacterial small subunit ribosomal RNA", at positions 356 to 707 of the family's 1533-position model. The record is from RNAcentral. Lineage: Bacteria; Bacillati; Cyanobacteriota.